GAUGAACGCUGGCGGCGUGCUUAACACAUGCAAGUCGAACGAAUCAGCCUUCGGGUUGGUUAGUGGCGGACGGGUGCGUAACACGUAGGUGACCUGCCCUAAAGUGGGGAAUAACUCCGCUAACGCGGAGCUAAUACCGCAUGUGGUUACUCAUUCGAUUGGGUAACUAAAGUCGAGAGAUGCUUUAGGAUGGGCCUGCGGCGGAUUAGCUAGUUGGUGGGGUAACGGCCUACCAAGGCGAUGAUCCGUAGGGGGCGUGAGAGCGUGACCCCCCACAUUGGCACUGAGACACGGGCCAAACUCCUACGGGAGGCAGCAGUGAGGAAUAUUGCACAAUGGGCGAAAGCCUGAUGCAGCAACGCCGCGUGAGGGACGAAGGCCUUCGGGUCGUAAACCUCUUUUCUGAGGGACGAGACAAGGACGGUACCUCAGGAAUAAGUCUCGGCUAACUACGUGCCAGCAGCCGCGGUAAAACGUAGGAGGCGAGCGUUAUCCGGAUUUACUGGGCGUAAAGCGCGCGCAGGCGGCUUGGUAAGUUGGACGUGAAAGCUCCUGGCUUAACUGGGAGAGGCCGUUCGAAACUGCCAGGCUUGAGGUUGGGAGGGGGGUGCGGAAUUCCCGGUGUAGUGGUGGAAUGCGUAGAUAUCGGGAGGAACACCAGUGGCGAAGGCGGCACCCUGGCCCACACCUGACGCUGAGGUGCGAAAGCGUGGGGAGUAAACAGGAUUAGAUACCCUGGUAAUCCACGCCGUAAACGAUGUCAACUAGGUGUCGGUGGUGUUACACUAUCGGUGCCGAAGCAAACGCGUUAAGUUGACCGCCUGGGGACUACGGCCGCAAGGCUA
RNAcentral lists this ribosomal RNA (845 nucleotides) under uncultured bacterium. Its description in RNAcentral is "bacterial SSU rRNA". It matches the Rfam family "Bacterial small subunit ribosomal RNA", at positions 28 to 896 of the family's 1533-position model. The record is from RNAcentral.